This 274-nucleotide ribosomal RNA is filed under the name uncultured bacterium. RNAcentral's name for it is "partial 16S ribosomal RNA". It matches the Rfam family "Bacterial small subunit ribosomal RNA", at positions 523 to 796 of the family's 1533-position model. The record is from RNAcentral.
AUACGGAGGGGGCAAGCGUUGUCCGGAUUUAUUGGGUUUAAAGGGUGCGUAGGUGGCGUGUUAAGUCAGUGGUGAAAGCCUGCAGCUCAACUGUAGAGGUGCCAUUAAUACUGACAUGCUUGAGUAUGGACGAGGUAGGCGGAAUUUGUGGUGUAGCGGUGAAAUGCAUAGAUACCACAAAGAACACCGAUAGCGAAGGCAGCUUACUGGACCAUAACUGACACUGAGGCACAAAAGUGUGGGUAGCGAACAGGAUUAGAUACCCUAGUAGUCC